RNAcentral lists this transfer RNA (73 nucleotides) under Candidatus Tachikawaea gelatinosa. It matches the Rfam family "tRNA". Rfam says of the family: Transfer RNA (tRNA) molecules are approximately 80 nucleotides in length. Their secondary structure includes four short double-helical elements and three loops (D, anti-codon, and T loops). Lineage: Bacteria; Pseudomonadati; Pseudomonadota; Gammaproteobacteria; Enterobacterales; Enterobacteriaceae. The record is from Rfam by way of RNAcentral.
AUCCCCUUAGUUAAAAAGGAUAUAAUAAACCCCUCCUAAGGGUUAGUUAUGGGUUCAAAUCCCAUAGGGGAUG